This 27-nucleotide small RNA is filed under the name Bombyx mori (domestic silkworm). RNAcentral's name for it is "ovarian small RNA-35589". Lineage: Eukaryota; Metazoa; Arthropoda; Insecta; Lepidoptera; Bombycidae. The record is from RNAcentral.
UGUCACCGGGUGUCUUUCUGAUGUGAA